Molecule: transfer RNA, 72 nt
Filed under: Diplacanthopoma brachysoma
Lineage: Eukaryota; Metazoa; Chordata; Actinopteri; Ophidiiformes; Bythitidae
Description: tRNA-Asp
Rfam family: tRNA
About the family: Transfer RNA (tRNA) molecules are approximately 80 nucleotides in length. Their secondary structure includes four short double-helical elements and three loops (D, anti-codon, and T loops).
Source: RNAcentral
AAGACACUAGUAAAGAGUUUAUUACACUGCCUUGUCAAGGCAGAAGCGCGGGUUAGACCCCCGCGUGUCUUA